UAGUCCACGCCGUAAACGAUGCUUACUCGCUGUUGGCGAUAUUACUGUCAGCGGCCAAGCGAAAGCGUUAAGUAAGCCACCUGGGGAGUACGCCCGCAAGGGUGAAACUCAAAGGAAUUGACGGGGGCCCGCACAAGCGGAGGAGCAUGUGGUUUAAUUCGAUGAUACGCGAGGAACCUUACCUGAACUUAAAUGGUGGACGACGGUUGCAGAAAUGUGACUUUCUUUUAGGGCUACACACGUGCUACAAUGGGUGAGACAGAGGGUUGCCAAGCCGCGAGGUGGAGCUAAUCUCAGAAACUCACUCCCAGUUCGGAUUGGAGUCUGCAACUCGACUCCAUGAAGGUGGAAUCGCUAGUAAUCGCGCAUCAGCAAUGGCGCGGUGAAUACGUUCCCGGACCUUGCACACACCGCCCGU
Molecule: ribosomal RNA, 418 nt
Filed under: uncultured bacterium
Lineage: Bacteria
Description: bacterial SSU rRNA
Rfam family: Bacterial small subunit ribosomal RNA
Source: RNAcentral